UUUUUUCUGUAAGAAACUAAUUUCCACAGAUGUUGUAGGUCCUCCAAGAACUUCCAUGAGUAAAGACCUGAACAUCUACCAGCGUUAUCAAUGGUUUGUUGCAACACUACUGAUACAGUGUAGCGUCCUACAGGUCCAGGGAGCAUAGUUCUGUAGAGAAAUAAUUUUCAAAGAUGAUCUAGGACCUCCUAGAACUUCCACAAGUAAAGGCCUUAAAAUUUAUAAGCGCAAUCAAUGGAAGUUCCCAAGAACUUCCGUGAGUAUAGACCUGAAGAUCUACAAGCGUUAUCAAUGGUUUGUCCAGGGAACAUAGUUCUGUUGAGAAAUAAUUGCCGAACAUCUUCUAGGUACUCCAAGAACUUCCAUGAGUAAAAGCCUGAAGAUCCACAAGCAUAAUCAAUGGAUUGUUGUUACACUACUUUUUUUAUCUGGUUCAUUUAUUUGGGGCUCAAUCGCGUAGAACGCUUUACGGAGCCGAGGAUCUUUCUUUGUACUUAAUAGCAGUGUUGAAAAAUUCAUUUCGUCAUAUCUAAAUUCAAUCACCUACAGCUCAUUUUAGAAACUGAACCUGAGAAUAUGGUAUAUGAAAAACUUGUGCAGCUAGACCAGUUCUGCAAGAAAGUCACGGAAAAACUGCUAUUUUUCGAAUAUUUAAGGUAAAUGUCACGG
This is a long non-coding RNA of Aedes albopictus (Asian tiger mosquito), 669 nucleotides long. RefSeq lists it as uncharacterized. NCBI's taxonomy places the organism in Eukaryota, Metazoa, Arthropoda, Insecta, Diptera, Culicidae. The transcript has 2 exons. The record is from RefSeq and is a predicted model, not a curated record.